RNAcentral lists this ribosomal RNA (253 nucleotides) under uncultured bacterium. Its description in RNAcentral is "partial 16S ribosomal RNA". It matches the Rfam family "Bacterial small subunit ribosomal RNA", at positions 524 to 776 of the family's 1533-position model. The record is from RNAcentral.
UACGAAGGGGGCUAGCGUUGCUCGGAAUCACUGGGCGUAAAGCGCACGUAGGCGGCUUUCUAAGUCAGGGGUGGAAUCCUGGAGCUCAACUCCAGAACUGCCUUUGAUACUGGAGAGCUUGAGUCCGGAAGAGGUGAGUGGAACUCCGAGUGUAGAGGUGAAAUUCGUAGAUAUUCGGAAGAACACCAGUGGCGAAGGCGGCUCACUGGUCCGGUACUGACGCUGAGGUGCGAAAGCGUGGGGAGCAAACAGG